UUCCAGACUCCUACGGGAGGCAGCAGUGGGGAAUAUUGCACAAUGGGGGAAACCCUGAUGCAGCGACGCCGCGUGAGCGAUGAAGUAUUUCGGUAUGUAAAGCUCUAUCAGCAGGGAAGAAGAUGACGGUACCUGACUAAGAAGCCCCGGCUAACUACGUGCCAGCAGCCGCGGUAAUACGUAGGGGGCAAGCGUUAUCCGGAUUUACUGGGUGUAAAGGGAGCGUAGACGGCGAUGCAAGCCAGAUGUGAAAGCCCGGGGCUCAACCCCGGGACUGCAUUUGGAACUGUGUGGCUGGAGUGUCGGAGAGGCAGGCGGAAUUCCUAGUGUAGCGGUGAAAUGCGUAGAUAUUAGGAGGAACACCAGUGGCGAAGGCGGCCUGCUGGACGAUGACUGACGUUGAGGCUCGAGAGCGUGGGGAGCAAACAGGAUUAGAUACCCUAGUA
RNAcentral lists this ribosomal RNA (446 nucleotides) under uncultured bacterium. RNAcentral's name for it is "bacterial SSU rRNA". It matches the Rfam family "Bacterial small subunit ribosomal RNA", at positions 329 to 792 of the family's 1533-position model. The record is from RNAcentral.